RNAcentral lists this ribosomal RNA (236 nucleotides) under uncultured bacterium. RNAcentral describes it as "partial 16S ribosomal RNA". It matches the Rfam family "Bacterial small subunit ribosomal RNA", at positions 57 to 305 of the family's 1533-position model. The record is from RNAcentral.
GCAAGUCAAGGGAGUGAUCGCACUCCAGGCAACUGGGUGAGUAACACGUUGGUAAUAUACCCCUGUCUCGAGUAUAACCAUGCUAAAGCGUGGAUAAUACUCGAUGGAAGUGAGGGGACAUAAGUCAUUCUCACUUAAAGUUUUAACGGACAGGGAAGAGCCUACGUCUGAUUAGUUAGUUGGUAGGGUAACGGCCUACCAAGACCAUGAUCAGUAGGGGACCCGAGAGGGUGACC